Archocentrus centrarchus (flier cichlid) is the source of this 454-nucleotide non-coding RNA. The record is from the annotation of a RefSeq genome assembly. Lineage: Eukaryota; Metazoa; Chordata; Actinopteri; Cichliformes; Cichlidae.
CCACUCACACAGCAGCAGCAGCAGCACAAUGAUGAUGUCACUGACUCUCCUGCUGGCCACCCUGGGGCUCCUUGUUCAGGGUUCAUCAGGAGAAAUCAUCCUGACUCAGACUCCUGAAGCUCAGUCUGUUGUUCCAGGACAGACUGUCUCUAUCAGGUGUAAAUCCAGCACACUGAUAGGUGAUGACAUAAACUGGUACCUUCAGAAAUCUGGAGAAGCUCCUAAACUUCUGAUCUAUGAUACUACAAUCCGUCAGUCUGGAGUUCCAGAUCGUUUCAGGGCAACAGCAGUUCAGACCGACUUCACUCUGACCAUCAGUGGAGUUCAGGCUGAAGAUGCAGGAGUUUAUUACUGUCAGCAGCACAACAGCUACCCGUUCACACAGUGAAAACCCGUCGUACAAAAACCUCAGACAGCUGGAGAGGAACUGAUCUGACAGCUGCAGUCGCACAAA